UACUCGUGAUGUGGACACUGACUUAAGAGUUCUUUAAAUCUCUCCCAGACUUCAUAAAAUGUUUCAUUGUCUUUUGGAAAAAUAUUGAGAUUUGUCUUUUCAAACUA
Small nucleolar RNA from Cannabis sativa, 107 nucleotides. Lineage: Eukaryota; Viridiplantae; Streptophyta; Magnoliopsida; Rosales; Cannabaceae. The record is from RefSeq and is a predicted model, not a curated record.